GUGGGGAAUCUUGCGCAAUGGGCGAAAGCCUGACGCAGCCAUGCCGCGUGAAUGAUGAAGGUCUUAGGAUUGUAAAAUUCUUUCACCGGGGACGAUAAUGACGGUACCCGGAGAAGAAGCCCCGGCUAACUUCGUGCCAGCAGCCGCGGUAAUACGAAGGGUGCAAGCGUUAUCCGGAUUCAUUGGGUUUAAAGGGUGAGUAGGCGGAGCGUUAAGUCAGUGGUGAAAUCCUGCAGCUUAACUGUAGACUUGCCAUUGAUACUGGCGCUCUUGAGUGCGAUUGAAGUGGGCGGAAUGUUCCGUGUAGCGGUGAAAUGCUUAGAUAUGGCACAGAACACCAAUUGCGAAGGCAGCUCACUAAGGCGAUACUGACGCUGAGGCACGAAAGCGUGGGGAUCGAACAGGAUUAGAUACCCUAGUAGUCC
Molecule: ribosomal RNA, 425 nt
Filed under: uncultured bacterium
Lineage: Bacteria
Description: bacterial SSU rRNA
Rfam family: Bacterial small subunit ribosomal RNA
Source: RNAcentral